RNAcentral lists this ribosomal RNA (460 nucleotides) under uncultured bacterium. Its description in RNAcentral is "partial 16S ribosomal RNA". It matches the Rfam family "Bacterial small subunit ribosomal RNA", at positions 338 to 795 of the family's 1533-position model. The record is from RNAcentral.
CCUACGGGGGGCUGCAGUGAGGAAUAUUGGUCAAUGGACGAGAGUCUGAACCAGCCAAGUAGCGUGAAGGAUGACUGCCCUAUGGGUUGUAAACUUCUUUUAUAAAGGAAUAAAACGAGGCACGUGUGCCUUUUUGCAUGUACUUUAUGAAUAAGGAUCGGCUAACUCCGUGCCAGCAGCCGCGGUAAUACGGAGGGUGCGAGCGUUAAUCGGAAUUACUGGGCGUAAAGCGCUCGUAGGCGGUAUGUCAAGGCAAGGGUGAAAUCCCCGCGCUCAACGUGGGAACUUCCUUUGACACUGGCAAACUGGAGUGUGUGAGAGCCUAGUGGAAUUCCCGGUCUAGGAGUGAAAUCCGUAGAUAUCUGGAGGACCAUCAGUGGCGAAUGCGCCUCUCUGGCACAUACCUGACGCUGAGGAGCGAACGCGUGGGUAGCAAACAGGAUUAGAUACCCCUGUAGUC